This 253-nucleotide ribosomal RNA is filed under the name uncultured bacterium. RNAcentral describes it as "partial 16S ribosomal RNA". It matches the Rfam family "Bacterial small subunit ribosomal RNA", at positions 524 to 776 of the family's 1533-position model. The record is from RNAcentral.
UACAGAGGAUGCAAGCGUUAUCCGGAAUGAUUGGGCGUAAAGCGUCUGUAGGUGGCUAUUUAAGUCCGCCGUCAAAUCCCAGGGCUCAACUCUGGACAGGCGGUGGAAACUACCAAGCUGGAGUACGGUAGGGGCAGAGGGAAUUCCCGGUGUAGCAGUGAAAUGCGUAGAGAUCGGGAGGAACACCAGUGGCGAAGGCGGCUACCUGGACCAGCACUGACACUGAGGCACGAAAGCGUGGGGAGCAAACAGG